This 551-nucleotide ribosomal RNA is filed under the name Escherichia coli. RNAcentral's name for it is "partial 23S ribosomal RNA". It matches the Rfam family "Bacterial large subunit ribosomal RNA", at positions 1221 to 1771 of the family's 2925-position model. The record is from RNAcentral. Lineage: Bacteria; Pseudomonadati; Pseudomonadota; Gammaproteobacteria; Enterobacterales; Enterobacteriaceae.
UUGUUGGGUAGGGGAGCGUUCUGUAAGCCUGUGAAGGUGUACUGUGAGGUAUGCUGGAGGUAUCAGAAGUGCGAAUGCUGACAUAAGUAACGAUAAAGCGGGUGAAAAGCCCGCUCGCCGGAAGACCAAGGGUUCCUGUCCAACGUUAAUCGGGGCAGGGUGAGUCGACCCCUAAGGCGAGGCCGAAAGGCGUAGUCGAUGGGAAACAGGUUAAUAUUCCUGUACUUGGUGUUACUGCGAAGGGGGGACGGAGAAGGCUAUGUUGGCCGGGCGACGGUUGUCCCGGUUUAAGCGUGUAGGCUGGUUUUCCAGGCAAAUCCGGAAAAUCAAGGCUGAGGCGUGAUGACGAGGCACUACGGUGCUGAAGCAACAAAUGCCCUGCUUCCAGGAAAAGCCUCUAAGCAUCAGGUAACAUCAAAUCGUACCCCAAACCGACACAGGUGGUCAGGUAGAGAAUACCAAGGCGCUUGAGAGAACUCGGGUGAAGGAACUAGGCAAAAUGGUGCCGUAACUUCGGGAGAAGGCACGCUGAUAUGUAGGUGAAGCGACUU